Non-coding RNA from Suillus plorans, 73 nucleotides. The record is from the annotation of a RefSeq genome assembly. Lineage: Eukaryota; Fungi; Basidiomycota; Agaricomycetes; Boletales; Suillaceae.
GCACAUCAUAAUCUAGCGGUUAGGAUGACCCCCUGGAGUCAGGAAGGCCCAGGUUCAAAUUCUGGUCCUGGCA